UGGGGAAUAUUGCACAAUGGGCGCAAGCCUGAUGCAGCCAUGCCGCGUGUAUGAAGAAGGCCUUCGGGUUGUAAAGUACUUUCAGCGGGGAGGAAGGCGAUAAGGUUAAUAACCUUGUCGAUUGACGUUACCCGCAGAAGAAGCACGGGCUAACUCCGUGCCAGCAGCCGCGGUAAUACGGAGGGUGCAAGCGUUAAUCGGAAUUACUGGGCGUAAAGCGCACGCAGGCGGUCUAUCAAGUCGGAUGUGAAAUCCCCGGGCUCAACCUGGGAACUGCAUUCGAAACUGGCAGGCUAGAGUCUUGUAGAGGGGGGUAGAAUUCCAGGUGUAGCGGUGAAAUGCGUAGAGAUCUGGAGGAAUACCGGUGGCGAAGGCGGCCCCCUGGACAAAGACUGACGCUCAGGUGCGAAAGCGUGGGGAGCAAACA
This 427-nucleotide ribosomal RNA is filed under the name uncultured bacterium. RNAcentral describes it as "partial 16S ribosomal RNA". It matches the Rfam family "Bacterial small subunit ribosomal RNA", at positions 355 to 774 of the family's 1533-position model. The record is from RNAcentral.